AUUGAACGCUGGCGGCAGGCCUAACACAUGCAAGUCGAGCGGAUGAAGGGAGCUUGCUCCUGGAUUCAGCGGCGGACGGGUGAGUAAUGCCUAGGAAUCUGCCUGGUAGUGGGGGAUAACGUCCGGAAACGGGCGCUAAUACCGCAUACGUCCUGAGGGAGAAAGUGGGGGAUCUUCGGACCUCACGCUAUCAGAUGAGCCUAGGUCGGAUUAGCUAGUUGGUGGGGUAAAGGCCUACCAAGGCGACGAUCCGUAACUGGUCUGAGAGGAUGAUCAGUCACCCGGGAACUAGAAACCGGCCCAGACCCCUAGGGGGGGCAGAGGGGGGAAAUUUUGGAAAUGGGGGGAAAGCCUGAUCCAGCCAUGCCGGGGGUGUGAAGAAGGUCUUCGGAUUGUAAAGCAUUUUAAGUUGGGAGAAAGGGCAGUAAGUUAAUCCCUUGCUUUUUUGACGUUACCAACAAAAAAAGCACCGGCAAACUUGGU
RNAcentral lists this ribosomal RNA (483 nucleotides) under uncultured bacterium. Its description in RNAcentral is "partial 16S ribosomal RNA". It matches the Rfam family "Bacterial small subunit ribosomal RNA", at positions 30 to 506 of the family's 1533-position model. The record is from RNAcentral.